UGUGCAUGCAGAAUUAUGUUUGAUGCUGAUUCAAACAUCUAUUGGUAACCUGCUGAUUAUGUUGCUAUGGCAUAGAAAACUUACGUUAUUGGAUCUCAUGUUUCACUAACUACAACACUAAUUCAUUUCAGCCUUAAGUUUGUAUUGUUGUUGUUGAAUUUUCAGUUAGCUUGAUCUCAUGUUCCCGUGUUUAACAGAUGGGCACAUGAGCAGCUCAUGAUUAAAUGUAUCUUGUUGUGAAGAUGACAUCUGGCUGUGAGGAUGUAAUACUGAUCUCAGAUGUGAGAACUAAUGUGUAUCUAAUUGGCAAUUGCAGAUGUCUUAGGACCAAACCAGCGACGGUCUUCUUGAGGGACUCAACUGGCAGAUUUGAGUUAAAUGAUUGGGAAAAAGUGUGCCAUGUUCUUCGGUGCUUUGAUCAAAUUUUAAUUGCUCCUUUGCUGUUCACGCAUCUACUGUGCUCAAUUAUAAGUAUAGUGGUGGCUCCCUGUAAAGGUUUCCUGAGAUGUGUUAGUGAUUUAACAGAGUAUAGUUCAGUUACCAUCAAUUUUACUUGGCAGCCUUUUUUCAAUGCUGCUGCUAAUUAGAGAUUGUCUCUUGUAGAGUAUGCAGUUAGCAGCUGGCACUGGCCAGUAUGGCCAUAUCCUUUUACUAUUCUAUUUAGAUCAAGUGAUCAGCAUGAGCAUAAUCGGGGAGUUAGAGUACUAUUGUUGAUACUAUGGCUUUUCAAACAGCAAUUGCAGGGACCAUCUAAUUAAAUCAGAAUAGUGGCUUGCAACUGGUACUAGGCUACUAGCCCCAUUGUUCUCUUAGGUAUUAAUAUAUGCUCAUUUUUUUUCUCAGGAAUUACGUAUUGGAGAAACGAUUUUUCAGGAGAAUUUUUUUACACCGAAACAGCUAUAUGAUGUAUUGGUUUUCAUAGAAGAUGAUUCUUGUUUUAUAUGGCUUGCGGUGGAUACAAAUCAACAUUCGAUGUGUUGUUUAUCUCCGGGUUGACAUGGUGCUCCUGGAAGGCUAUCCCAUCUCUAUGAUGGAAUUAUAUCUAUUUAACUCAUAGUUGUAUAUUGUAAUUUGAAUAUUUGUGUAAAGAUCAUGAAAUUAUUUCUCAUGUAUUUCUUGCUGUUGAUUGUGUGAAUUGCUGGGUUAAAUAUUCAGAACACGUGAUGAAAUUUGGUAGCUACCAAAGUACUAGAAUUGUCUGCUGUGAAUUUACUCGUGUACAUGUAAAAAAUAGCAACCGCCAAUUUACUAAGAGUAGCACCAUAUCAGAUGGCAGCUAUCAAUUUAUUUGCCACUGGUCUGCCCUUGCUGUCCUCUGUCCUCCAAACAGCGACAGGGAUGGGGGGAGGGGUUGAGGAUCGCUGCCCAGGGAAUCGCCUCGCUAGUGGAAUUCCCGCCGGGCUUCUAUUCCACGGGAUAAUCUGGGACCGGCUCCCAAACUAGCCCCUAGAGUUGGAUCUCACGUCCGCCCUUAUCCUCUCCCUGCGCUGCGCUCAAGUCCUUCGCCCUCGCCCCCUCCGCCUCUCACCGCCUCCUCCGCCCGCUCCGCGCCGACCUCCUCCCCGCCGCGCUCGCCCACUACCCGUCCACCUCACGCCUCGACCUUUCCGCUGUGCGCGUGUCCCCUCAGGAUCAUCCCUCCACGCCCUUGACCUCUCUCGCUCCGGGGGCCUGCCCGGACCUCGCCGACCUCGACCUCUCCAAUGGGGUCUAUCUCGGGGACGCCGCGGCAGCCGAGGUGGGGCGGAUCUGGGGCCCUCCCCCCCAUCGACCGCCCCCUCCCUCCCCCGGCCCGCCUCCCCGCCGGAUCUGGGGUGCGGCUCGGAGUGGGGGCCACAGCAAGCUCCUGCGCAGCUCCGGCAGUGGCGCGGCGGUGGGGCCAGGGCUCGCCCGCCAGCGCACGUGUAGGGGGCGGCGUGCCGCGGUUGCCGGCGUCCCGGCGCGACAGGCAGCUCCGGCUCUGGCCCCGUACAUACUAUCCCUUCCCCUCCCCUCUCCUGUUCCCAUCUCUUCUAUCUCCUCCAGGACCGGAUGGCAGCCAAGCCUGAUGGCAGCAAAGAAGGGCGCAGCGCACGGUCAGAGGCGACAGCAGGUAGGGAGAUCGCCGGGGUACGGUUUCCUCCAGGGCCGGAGAGCCUCGUUGCGACGGAGCACCCACAACCCGCAGCGCACAGCCAUCGACCUCGACAAUGCACAGUGAUUUGUUUCCGAAUUUGUUCCUUUGUUUUACCUCCUACGUUACGUUUUUGGAUCUGAUUUACCGUUCAGACCAAUAGAUUGAGUUCUCUUUCUAUAGUGUCCCUACAGUAGCCCAAGCAUUUGCUAGAUCUAUUUGCGUUAUUCUGGCUCAUCAAUAAGAUCGACAUAACUCCUGCUUGGUUAGACCAUCUGAUUAGACCGGUGGCUUGUGUCUGCUAGUAUGCGUACUCAUACCUACAAGUGAACCAAACCGUGCAUUUACUAAGAACUAUUUACUCGCAUAGCAUGGAAUUUAUUUUCAUGUUAGCUCUAUUUAGGCGAUACAUAGUUCUGCACUAUGUCUGGAAUUAAUAUUAGCCUGAUUUUAGAGGUAGAACAGGUGGAGCUGAUGAAGAAUCGACCACAGCAGGAUAAGUCCAAGCUCACUGGGUAGGCCUUUGGUCCUAGUUAUCAGUUAAAGGACAGCUGGCCCAAAUAUCCAGAUACAGCCUGAGUCAAGAUGGGACACGCUGUGGCAACAGUCACGCGUUCUGCAGCAUGAAGAUCCGCUGGUCACGUGGAGCACUGCAUCGAUAAUCAGCUGGCUAACACAGAGGAGUACAGAGCUAGAGGGCACGAGGGAUGAUAUUGCUAACUUUUUGUUUUGUUGGAUACAAUUUAUGUUUUCUGUAGGACUCUAAUAAUGUGUAUGGAUAUAACUGGAUAUAACUGAGUAUGGAUGUAAUAAAGGAAUAGAAAAAAUUUUGAUUUCU
This is a long non-coding RNA of Panicum virgatum (switchgrass), 2951 nucleotides long. RefSeq lists it as uncharacterized. The transcript has 4 exons. The record is from RefSeq and is a predicted model, not a curated record. NCBI's taxonomy places the organism in Eukaryota, Viridiplantae, Streptophyta, Magnoliopsida, Poales, Poaceae.